UUCUGACGUGCAAAUCGAUCGUGUGAUCUUGGUAUAGGGGCGAAAGACUAAUCGAACCAUCUAGUAGCUGGUUCCUUCUGAAGUUUCCCUCAGGAUAGCAGGAAUUCAUCUUGGACAGUUUAAUUAGUUAGAGCGAAUGAUUGGAGGUAUGGGAAGUUAUGUGCUUUUCACCUAUUCUCAAACUUCAAAUUGAUUAAUUGGAUGAUUAUCUAUCAUUCAACAAAUGAGAAUUCCUAGUGGGCUUUUUUUGGUAAGCAGAACUGGCGAUGUGGGAUGAACCAAUAACUUGGUUAAAAUGUCUUGGUGGAACUCAUGAGUGACCAUGAAAGGUGUUGAUUGAUACAGACAGCAGGACGGUGGCCAUGGAAGUCGGAAUCCGCUGAGGAGUGUGUAACAACUCACCUGCCGAAUCAAUCAGCCCUGAAAAAGGAUGACACUUGAGAUCUACAUUGAGACCGAGUUGUCAUAAACAUUCAAAUAUUUAUUGGCAAGUAAGAAGGUGUGUUGAUUGCUUUGACUCGUGAAAGUAAUUUUGCAGAGAGCAAUUAGCGGUGCUGAUCUUGGUGGUAGUAGCAAUUUCAAGUGAGCUUCUUGAGGGCCAACGUGGUGAAAGGUUUCCAUGUGAACAGUGAUUGAACGUGGGUGAGUCAGUCCUUAGUAUGAAGCGAAAGCAACAUAUAGAGUAUUACUCUUGGAAUGAGAGGGAGUUGAGUUAAUAUUCCCAAACCCUGAAUGAUUAUCCAACGGUGACGCUGAAGUAAUUUGAAACGUAUGCACUCGACUGGAUGAGAGUUUUCUUCUCUUUUUGACAACAUGAACUCCGUGGCAAUGGCUUUUCGUCACGAAACGGAAUUUGUGUAGACAGAAAUUAGCAGCAUUUGUUAUGUUCCAUGUUUUGUUGCGUCCACUUGAAAAUCAAAUUACGAUAUAUUUCCGGUGUGUACCAAGAACCGCAUCAGGUUCCCAAGGUGAGAAGCCUCUGGUCAUGAACAGUGUAGGUAAGGGAAGUCGGCAUAGUGGAUUUGGACCUUCGGUAUAAGGAUUGGCUCUGUGGACCGGAUUUCAGACACCAGUGUUUUUUCGGUUUGUGUUAUGAUGACGGAGAAUCUUCGGAUGAUCUGUGUUGAUAUCGCUUACAGUUGAGACUCGCGGAUGCAUGAAUCAUUUCACGGUCGGGCACAGAACUGACACUGACAAGGGGAUUCCGACUGUCUAAUUAAAACGAAGCAUUGUGAUGACUGGUAAAACAGUGUAGACCCAAUGUGAUUUCUGCCCAGUGCUCUGAAUGUCAAGGUGAAGAACUUCAAGUAAGCGCGGGUAAACGGCGGGAGUAACUAUGACUCUCUUAAGGUAGCCAAAUGCCUCGUCAUCUAAUUAGUGACGCGCAUGAAUGGAUCAACGAGAUUCCUCCUGUCCCUAUCUACCAUCAGGUGAAACCACAGCUAGGGGAACGGGCCUAGUGUAAUUGGCGGGGAAAGAAGACCCUGUUGAGCUUGACUCUAGUUUGACUCAGUGAAGUGACUCGCGGAGUGUAGCAUAGGUGGGAGCUAGUGCAUCAAUGAAAUACCACUAUCUACGGUGUCACUUUACUCAUCCGUAUAUUAAGCUUGCGCUUCUUCAGUGACAAAGUUUUUCAAUAAAUUAUAUGUCGGAGAAACUGUCAGGUUGGGAGUUUGGCUGGGGCGGUACAUCUGUAAAAAGAUAACGCAGGUGUCCUAAGGUUGACUCAGCGUGGACGGAAACCUCGUGUAGAGCAAAAAGGCUAAAGUCAGCUUGAUGUGAAAUUUCAGUAUGAUUUCAGACUGCGAAAGUGUGGCCUAUCGAUCCUUCUGUAUCAGAGUGUAUGAGCAAGAGGUGUCAGAAAAGUUACCACAGGGAUAACUGGCUCGUGGCAGCCAAGCGUUCAUAGCGACGUUGCUUUUUGAUCCUUCGAUGUCGGCUCUUCCUAUCAUUGCGAAGCAGAAUUCGCAAAGUGUUGGAUUGUUCACCCACUAACAGGGAACGUGAGCUGGGUUUAGACCGUCGUGAGACAGGUUAGUUUUACCCUACUGAUGACUAUUAUAGAUGCGAUGAAAGAAUCUCUAUUCAGUACGAGAGGAACUGUGGAAACGGACAGCUGGUUUCGUGAAUUGAUCGAACUACAAUC
Molecule: ribosomal RNA, 2146 nt
Filed under: Aphanostoma bajaensis
Lineage: Eukaryota; Metazoa; Xenacoelomorpha; Acoela; Convolutidae
Description: partial 28S ribosomal RNA
Rfam family: Eukaryotic large subunit ribosomal RNA
Source: RNAcentral